GACGAACGCUGGCGGCGUGCUUAACACAUGCAAGUCGAACGAAGAGCGAUGGAAGCUUGCUUCUAUCAAUCUUAGUGGCGAACGGGUGAGUAACGCGUAAUCAACCUGCCCUUCAGAGGGGGACAACAGUUGGAAACGACUGCUAAUACCGCAUACGAUCUAAUCUCGGCAUCGAGGAUAGAUGAAAGGUGGCCUCUACAUGUAAGCUAUCACUGAAGGAGGGGAUUGCGUCUGAUUAGCUCGUUGGGGGGGUAACGGCCCACCAAGGCGAUGAUCAGUAGCUGGUCUGAGAGGAGGAUGAGCGACACUGGAAGUGAGACACGGUCCAGACUCCUAAGGGGGGCAGCAGUGGGGAAUAGUGGACAAUGGGCGGAAGCCUGAUCCAGCCAUACCGCGGAGGUGAAGAAGGCCUGCGGGUUGUAAAGCCCUUUUGUUGGGAAAGAAAAGCAGCAGGUUAAUACCCCGCUGUUCUGACGGUACCCAAAGAAUAAGCACCGGCUAACUUCGUG
Molecule: ribosomal RNA, 509 nt
Filed under: uncultured bacterium
Lineage: Bacteria
Description: partial 16S ribosomal RNA
Rfam family: Bacterial small subunit ribosomal RNA
Source: RNAcentral